Molecule: long non-coding RNA, 866 nt
Organism: Siniperca chuatsi (mandarin fish)
Lineage: Eukaryota; Metazoa; Chordata; Actinopteri; Centrarchiformes; Sinipercidae
Exons: 2
Source: RefSeq, a predicted model, not a curated record
GCCGGAGCGAGAGCCGGGGCAGCAGCCAGAGCGAGAGCCGGAGCGAGAGCCGGCGAUAAAUAAAAUCACAAUAUUUCGGGAUGCUGCCCCUUAUGCAGAACACGGAGCGAAGUGCAUCAACAUACUUUUGAGAAAUGUUGUAUGAGCAUCAUCACCAACCUUGGAUUGAUCUUUAAUCUGUAAUUAUACUGUUUCUAACGGACGAAGACUGUGGAAAACUUUGUUUCUUUGCUUUUGUAAUUUGUAAUGAGAGUUUUAAAGAAAUGCUUCUGUCAUGGUAUAUAUUUCUGUGUUGAGCCUUCAGCCUUCAGCACCCAGUAUUCUGUAGAGGUCAGUCUGGUGCUAUAACUAAAUGUUUAACUGCUGAAUCAAAUUAUAAUGCAGGUGAAAAGCUUUAAAUGUCUCUGUGAUAACUUGGCACGACAGCGACACCCUGAACAGGAAGGUCAGAAUGUGCAACUGCAGGCUAUUUUUAAUAAUGUUACACUAUAAACAAGAGAAAUGAAGCUCUCUGUGAUGACUUUUUCAUGGUGAAGAUAUUAACUUUUCAUUUUUACCAGUGUAGCAGUCGACUCCUGCAGGACAUGUUACAGCCUUUAGCUUAAAAAACGUAAAAACCCUGCAGAAGUGCCCAGUUUGUUCUGUGGUGUACUGGAUGGUUUAUUGGCACCGCCUGUGAUGAGCUCUUUAUUAUGAACACCAGGGAGCGCACACACAGUGUAUCUCAUGAUGUUGUUUGCAAACAUGUAAUUUUCUCUUUUAAUCAUUGAACUGUAUCAUUGUGUUUCACAUUUAAUUUACUGUUUGUCUUAUUAUUGUACUAAUAAACUCAAAGGAAGCUUCCACUAAACCAUGAAGAGAAACUG